Molecule: long non-coding RNA, 359 nt
Organism: Salmo salar (Atlantic salmon)
Lineage: Eukaryota; Metazoa; Chordata; Actinopteri; Salmoniformes; Salmonidae
Source: RefSeq, a predicted model, not a curated record
AUGGAUAGUUUUCUUCUUCGUUCACUCGCCGUACAGUAGGUGGCGACAAUACGCCAAUAGGUGUAGUCUGCUAUAAAACCCUAAAGAAGAACAAGACAACAGCAAAUUGUUGACGAGGACAGCUAGCGACGAACAGUUCAUAUCAUACAAAGAAACAGUAGCUUCCACAAUGGAUCGGGACAAAGCUAGUCUGUCCCCCUCCACCCUCCAGGAGCCCCCAAGUCGACCGCCUCUCCGUACUUUACUGCUGGUUCUGGACGACUGCAGGAAAACACCGGGGCAGAGUGGAACUAAGAGACGAGAAGGAGAAGAGGAACAUGGAGAUUUGAUUUCAUUAAGUAAAAACCAUCUGGAUUAGA